RNAcentral lists this ribosomal RNA (433 nucleotides) under uncultured bacterium. Its description in RNAcentral is "partial 16S ribosomal RNA". It matches the Rfam family "Bacterial small subunit ribosomal RNA", at positions 29 to 506 of the family's 1533-position model. The record is from RNAcentral.
AACGAACGCUGGCGGCAUGCCUAACACAUGCAAGUCGAACGAGAUCUUCGGGUCUAGUGGCGCACGGGUGCGUAACGCGUGGGAAUCUGCCCUCAGGUUCGGAAUAACCAUUGGAAACGAUGGAUAAUACCGGAUGAUGACGUUAAGUCCAAAGAUUUAUCGCCUGAGGAUGAGCCCGCGUAGGAUUAGCUAGUUGGUGUGGUAAAGGCGCACCAAGGCGACGAUCCUUAGCUGGUCUGAGAGGAUGAUCAGCCACACUGGGACUGAGACACGGCCCAGACUCCUACGGGAGGCAGCAGUGGGGAAUAUUGGACAAUGGGCGAAAGCCUGAUCCAGCAAUGCCGCGUGAGUGAUGAAGGCCUUAGGGUUGUAAAGCUCUUUUACCCGGGAUGAUAAUGACAGUACCGGGAGAAUAAGCUCCGGCUAACUCCGU